RNAcentral lists this ribosomal RNA (406 nucleotides) under uncultured bacterium. Its description in RNAcentral is "partial 16S ribosomal RNA". It matches the Rfam family "Bacterial small subunit ribosomal RNA", at positions 30 to 526 of the family's 1533-position model. The record is from RNAcentral.
AUUGAACGCUGGCGGCAGGCCUAACACAUGCAAGUCGAACGAGUGGCGGACGGGUGAGUAAUGUCUGGGAACCUGCCCGAUGGAGGGGGAUACCUACUGGAAACGGUAGCUAAUCCCGCAUACCAUCGGAUGUGCCCAGAUGGGAUUAGCUAGUGGGGGGGGUAACGGCUCACCUGGGCGACGAUCCCAAGCUGGUCUGAGAGGGUGACCGGCCACACGGGAACUGAGAAACGGUCCAGACUCCUACGGGAGGAAGCAGUGGGAAUUAUUGCACAAUGGGCGCAAGCCUGAUGAGGCCAUGCCGCGUGUAUGAAGAAGGCCUUCGGGUUGUAAAGUACUUUCAGCGAGGAGGCGUUACUCGCAGAAGAAGCACCGGCUAACUCCGUGCCAGCAGCCGCGGUAAUAC